UCCUUUCUGUUAGCUCACUGUCAAAGUAAGCUUCAAAUGGAUGGCACAGCAAUCGCUAUAUUGUCAGCAUGUUUUUGUUUAUAGUCCCCAUCGACUUUACUGUCAGUGUGUUCAGAGAUUAAGAACGUUUACCGUAAUUUCUAAUUGGAUCUAUGUCAGGUCAGUCAGAUUUGUUUGUUUAUUUCUUUAAGGAAAGCUAUUACAUUUUGGAGUAUUUUGAUAUUUUUGGUAGCAAAUAUUUGAUAAAUACUGUGAUACCUGUCUAUUUCAUAUUUGCUCCUUGUUGUCGUAUAAUUAGUGCAAUGGAAAAAUAGCCAAUAAGCUGAAUAAUCAUGGCCUGCAAGGAGACGAUUGAGGGUGCGUACUUCAGAAUUAGAGAGCUUUAAUCCGGUAUACCAGGGUUUGGAUGGUAUCGUGUUCUGGAACUGGAAAUAUUUGCGUCCCUUUCCAUUCACAGCGGCAUAUUCGAGGAGUACUGUUGAUUCAAAGCUGCUUUCGCCAACUGGUCAGCAAUCUCGUUCCCGGCAGUGCCAGCGUGGCCAGGAAUCCACUGCAAAGCUGUGCUAGUUUUCGAAGCCAUACCGAGCAGUUUUUCCACGAUUUCAUCCCGAAAAUCAUCUUGCAUGUUCGAUUUGAUGAACUCAAGACCCGCCUUUGAGUCGGACAUGAUAACGGUAUUGGAGAUUCCAGAUCGUCGUAUAUACUGCAGAGCUACCCAGAUGGCCUCCAAUUCUGCGGACAUAAUACACACAUAAUGAUCUAGUUUAAGACUAAGCCUGAAAUUGGACGAUGAGUCAUAAACUCCUAUUCCACAGGAUUCCCAGUUUUGGGAAGCAUCCGUGUAGAUGAUACGUCUCCCGUUGUAUUUACCGUGAAUUAAUGAAAGAGAAAGUUGCUUCAACACCCGA
This is a long non-coding RNA of Aedes aegypti (yellow fever mosquito), 908 nucleotides long. RefSeq lists it as uncharacterized. Lineage: Eukaryota; Metazoa; Arthropoda; Insecta; Diptera; Culicidae. The record is from RefSeq and is a predicted model, not a curated record. The transcript is spliced from 3 exons.